GCAGUCGAGCGGGCGUAGCAAUACGUCAGCGGCAGACGGGUGAGUAACGCGUGGGAACGUACCUUUUGGUUCGGAACAACACAGGGAAACUUGUGCUAAUACCGGAUAAGCCCUUACGGGGAAAGAUUUAUCGCCGAAAGAUCGGCCCGCGUCUGAUUAGCUAGUUGGUGAGGUAACGGCUCACCAAGGCGACGAUCAGUAGCUGGUCUGAGAGGAUGAUCAGCCACAUUGGGACUGAGACACGGCCCAAACUCCUACGGGAGGCAGCAGUGGGGAAUAUUGGACAAUGGGCGCAAGCCUGAUCCAGCCAUGCCGCGUGAGUGAUGAAGGCCCUAGGGUUGUAAAGCUCUUUUGUGCGGGAAGAUAAUGACGGUACCGCAAGAAUAAGCCCCGGCUAACUUCGUGCCAGCAGCCGCGGUAAUACGAAGGGGGCUAGCGUUGCUCGGAAUCACUGGGCGUAAAGGGUGCGUAGGCGGGUCUUUAAGUCAGGGGUGAAAUCCUGGAGCUCAACUCCAGAACUGCCUUUGAUACUGAAGAUCUUGAGUUCGGGAGAGGUGAGUGGAACUGCGAGUGUAGAGGUGAAAUUCGUAGAUAUUCGCAAGAACACCAGUGGCGAAGGCGGCUCACUGGCCCGAUACUGACGCU
Molecule: ribosomal RNA, 645 nt
Filed under: uncultured Afipia sp.
Lineage: Bacteria; Pseudomonadati; Pseudomonadota; Alphaproteobacteria; Hyphomicrobiales; Nitrobacteraceae
Description: bacterial SSU rRNA
Rfam family: Bacterial small subunit ribosomal RNA
Source: RNAcentral